UCCUAUAUCCGUCCUUGCCGGGUUUCACCCGGCUAUGACGAUAAACUGCGGCGAGUAAUAGACGCAGCGGACCCGGGGGCAGUACCCGGCGGCUCCACCAUAAAAGGUGGUGUAUCUGGACACCGUUUCUGACGGGGCCGAACCAGGAUCGACGUGUGUUGAAAAGCGCUGUUUUCGUUCGGAAUGGGACCACCGCAACGGCCCAUAACCACAAGUGCCAACGAUAACGAAGCACUCGCGAUUGCGGCGUAAUUGAGGGCCUCACGGCCUGACAUUACACCAAAAUAGCGCGGUCGGACCCCACCGGGCAACAGAAG
RNAcentral lists this transfer-messenger RNA (317 nucleotides) under Sphingomonas paucimobilis. RNAcentral describes it as "Alphaproteobacteria transfer-messenger RNA". It matches the Rfam family "Alphaproteobacteria transfer-messenger RNA". Rfam says of the family: Bacterial tmRNA, also known as 10Sa RNA or SsrA, is named for its dual tRNA and mRNA-like properties. Its role is to liberate the mRNA from a stalled ribosome. Lineage: Bacteria; Pseudomonadati; Pseudomonadota; Alphaproteobacteria; Sphingomonadales; Sphingomonadaceae. The record is from RNAcentral.